This 274-nucleotide ribosomal RNA is filed under the name uncultured bacterium. Its description in RNAcentral is "partial 16S ribosomal RNA". It matches the Rfam family "Bacterial small subunit ribosomal RNA", at positions 523 to 796 of the family's 1533-position model. The record is from RNAcentral.
AUACGGAGGGUGCAAGCGUUAAUCGGAAUUACUGGGCGUAAAGCGUACGUAGGCGGUUAUUUAAGUCAGAUGUGAAAGCCCCGGGCUUAACUUGGGAACUGCAUUUGAAACUGGGUAACUAGAGUUUAGUAGAGGGGAGUGGAAUUUCAGGUGUAGCGGUGAAAUGCGUAGAGAUCUGAAGGAACACCAGUGGCGAAGGCGACUCCCUGGACUCGAACUGACGCUGAGGUACGAAAGCGUGGGUAGCAAACGGGAUUAGAAACCCCGGUAGUCC